GCGCUCUUAGCUUAGCUGGAUAGAGCAACGGCCUUCUAAGCCGUAGGUCACAGGUUCGAAUCCUGUAGAGCGCACCA
RNAcentral lists this transfer RNA (77 nucleotides) under Candidatus Erwinia haradaeae. RNAcentral describes it as "transfer RNA Arginine". It matches the Rfam family "tRNA". Rfam says of the family: Transfer RNA (tRNA) molecules are approximately 80 nucleotides in length. Their secondary structure includes four short double-helical elements and three loops (D, anti-codon, and T loops). Further hydrogen bonds mediate the characteristic L-shaped molecular structure. tRNAs have two regions of fundamental functional importance: the anti-codon, which is responsible for specific mRNA codon recognition, and the 3' end, to which the tRNAs corresponding amino acid is attached (by aminoacyl-tRNA synthetases). tRNAs cope with the degeneracy of the genetic code in two manners: having more than one tRNA (with a specific anti-codon) for a particular amino acid; and 'wobble' base-pairing, i.e. permitting non-standard base-pairing at the 3rd anti-codon position. Lineage: Bacteria; Pseudomonadati; Pseudomonadota; Gammaproteobacteria; Enterobacterales; Erwiniaceae. The record is from RNAcentral.